Molecule: non-coding RNA, 752 nt
Organism: Phoenix dactylifera (date palm)
Lineage: Eukaryota; Viridiplantae; Streptophyta; Magnoliopsida; Arecales; Arecaceae
Source: RefSeq, a predicted model, not a curated record
UUGGAUUUUGGGCCGAUUGGGCCAAAGCCGGCGGGUCAAACCGGCUUCAGCCCAUGAAGAAAAGACUGAGACAGAGGAUCGUAAUAGUCUUCUUCCUCAGAGUAACGGAGGCGAGAUAGGAGCGGGGACAUCGUGGCCUCUUGAAUGGCCUCUGAUUCUGCCCGACCACCGCGAGCAUCACGGAGGUGAACGAGCCACAACCAUUUUCUUUCUUCCCCGGAGAGGGCUAUAAAAGCCCCCGAUAGCUCACCCGAUCCGAGACCCCCCUCCUCCCUAUUUUCUCCUUGCUCUCGGACCAGGAUGUUGCCAGAUCUGGGCACUCCGGUGGCCUGAAGUUCGCCACCGUCCUCGCUCAUGUUGGGUUCCACCUCCGGUAUCCUCCACCGGCGCCUCUCCUCGUCGGACUUCACCACCCGCGCCCCUGCUCUCAUUAGUGAGGUACAGAGAAUUUGACGGACGAGAUUAGGAUUGUGUGGGCGAAUUGAGAUAAUUAAGGCGAUUAAGAGCGGGAAAGAGUAAAUGAAAAUUGGAGUUGAAGCAUAGUUACAGGGAUUCUUAAAAGUAUCUAUGUUAAUAAGUUUGGGUUGUAAUAUUGCAAACUCAAGUAUUUGAUUUAGAUGCUCUGUACUUGCUUCUUUAUGAUUAGUAAAUAAAUUUGAUCAGAUUUGGUCUUAUUUCAUGAAAUAAAAUUGUUAUCAUGGGCUUCGUGCUAUUAUGGGCAGCAACCUACAAUAGCACGGCCGUGUCAUAAA